GACGAACGCUGGCGGCGUGCUUAACACAUGCAAGUCGAACGGACGAGUGAGAUAAGUUUACUUAACUCACAAGUUAGUGGCGGACGGGUGAGUAACACGUGGAUAAUCUACCUGCAACACCGGGAUAACGCUGUGAAAACGGUGCUAAUACCGGAUACGUUCCCUUGUGCGCAUGUAUGAGGGAAGAAAGCUCAGGCGGUUGCAGAUGAGUCCGCGGCUGAUUAGCUAGUUGGUGAGGUAAAGGCUCACCAAGGCGAUGAUCAGUAGCCGGCCUGAGAGGGUGAACGGCCACACUGGGACUGAGACACGGCCCAGACUCCUACGGGAGGCAGCAGUGGGGAAUCUUCCGCAAUGGGCGCAAGCCUGACGGAGCAACGCCGCGUGGGUGAAGAAGGCCUUCGGUGUAAGCCCUGUCUUAUGGGAAGAAGUCAGUGACGGUACCAUAGGAGGAAGCCACGGCUAACUACGUGCCAGAAGACCGACGGUAAAAAGACGUAACUCU
RNAcentral lists this ribosomal RNA (502 nucleotides) under uncultured bacterium. Its description in RNAcentral is "bacterial SSU rRNA". It matches the Rfam family "Bacterial small subunit ribosomal RNA", at positions 28 to 534 of the family's 1533-position model. The record is from RNAcentral.